RNAcentral lists this ribosomal RNA (481 nucleotides) under uncultured bacterium. RNAcentral's name for it is "bacterial SSU rRNA". It matches the Rfam family "Bacterial small subunit ribosomal RNA", at positions 28 to 513 of the family's 1533-position model. The record is from RNAcentral.
GACGAACGCUGGCGGCGUGCUUAACACAUGCAAGUCGAGCGGUAAGGCCCUUUCGGGGGUACACGAGCGGCGAACGGGUGAGUAACACGUGGGUGACCUGCCCUCAGCUCUGGGAUAAGCCUGGGAAACCGGGUCUAAUACCGGAUAUGACUCCAUGACGCAUGUUGUGGGGUGGAAAGCCUUGUGCGGCUGAGGAUGGGCCCGCGGCCUAUCAGCUUGUUGGUGGGGUGAUGGCCUACCAAGGCGACGACGGGUAGCCGGCCUGAGAGGGCGACCGGCCACACUGGGACUGAGACACGGCCCAGACUCCUACGGGAGGCAGCAGUAAGGAAUAUUGCGCAAUGGGCGAAAGCCUGACGCAGCGACGCCGCGUGGGGAUGAAGGUCUUCGGAUUGUAAACCCCUUUCGGGAGGGAAGGAUGGAACGAGCAAUCGUUCGGACGGUACCUCCAGAAGCAGCCACGGCUAACUUCGUGCCAGCA